ACCGCUGGAAUAUCAACUGUCCAAUCUGGGUGUCCCUGGCUGGUGCAUCCCUGAUGAGGAGGCACAGUUCAAAAUGGAAAGUGAAUUCACCUAGCUUAAACUGAUGAGCUGGUGGCUGGUGACUCCUUUCUAAGAGAUGGAAGAUGAGCUGGACAUGAAAACCAAACUUUACCAUUCCUGGAUGUAGCAAGCAAAACACCGGCAGUAACUAACCAGGCUGAGUUGGUCUUCUGUUCUGACUUCACUCACAGCUGAUAAGCAGGAACCUUAUACCUGGGAGCACCAGUUUCUUUGAAAAAACUGAGAGGGCUCGGCUGCAGAAGCUCGUAAGAUCUCUUGCUAGAGUGGACCCAUGAAAUGUACUCUUUAUUGCUGAAUUUCAGAGACAGAGAAGCACCAGGUCAGUAAUACCUUAAUGCUAUGUAAUGUCAUCUCCUUGCUCUAUGUUACAGUCCCCUCAUUUAUACACCAAAACUCACAUUUAGCCCCUUAGAUACAACCUUUUACUGAGGGCUUGUUUUCCGUUGUUUUUGUAGCAUUAUGCUCAAUC
Long non-coding RNA from Aquila chrysaetos chrysaetos, 550 nucleotides. RefSeq lists it as uncharacterized. The record is from RefSeq and is a predicted model, not a curated record. The transcript has 3 exons. NCBI's taxonomy places the organism in Eukaryota, Metazoa, Chordata, Aves, Accipitriformes, Accipitridae.